Molecule: ribosomal RNA, 559 nt
Filed under: uncultured Glomus
Lineage: Eukaryota; Fungi; Glomeromycota; Glomeromycetes; Glomerales; Glomeraceae
Description: SSU rRNA
Rfam family: Eukaryotic small subunit ribosomal RNA
Source: RNAcentral
AAUUGGAGGGCAAGUCUGGUGCCAGCAGCCGCGGUAAUUCCAGCUCCAAUAGCGUAUAUUAAAGUUGUUGCAGUUAAAAAGCUCGUAGUUGAAUUUCGGGGUCAGUAGGUUGGUCGUGCCACAGGUAUGAACUGGUCUCACUGAUUCCUCCUUCCUGAUGAACCGUAAUGCCAUUAAUUUGGUGUUGCGGGGAGACUGGACUGUUACUUUGAAAAAAUUAGAGUGUUUAAAGCAGGCUAACGCUUGAAUACAUUAGCAUGGAAUAAUGAAAUAGGACGUUCGGUCUUAUUUUGUUGGUUUCUAAGAUUGACGUAAUGAUUAAUAGGGAUAGUUGGGGGCAUUAGUAUUCAAUUGUCAGAGGUGAAAUUCUUGGAUUUAUUGAAGACUAACUACUGCGAAAGCAUUUGCCAAGGAUGUUUUCAUUAAUCAAGAACGAAAGUUAGGGGAUCGAAGACGAUCAGAUACCGUCGUAGUCUUAACCAUAAACUAUGCCGACUAGGGAUCGGAUGAUGUUAAUUUUUUAAUGACUCAUUCGGCGCCUUACGGGAAACCAAAGUGU